CUUAAUUCGCGGGGAAUUCCUACCUGAUCCGAGGUCAACAUUCAGAAGUUGGGGUUUUACGGCGUGGCCGCGACGAUUACCAGUAACGAGGUGUAUGAUUACUACGCUAUGGAAGCUCGACGUGACCGCCAAUCGAUUUGGGGAACGCGGGUUACCGCGAGUCCCAACACCAAGCUGAGCUUGAGGGUUGAAAUGACGCUCGAACAGGCAUGCCCGCCAGAAUACUGGCGGGCGCAAUGUGCGUUCAAAGAUUCGAUGAUUCACUGAAUUCUGCAAUUCACAUUACUUAUCGCAUUUUGCUGCGUUCUUCAUCGAUGCCAGAACCAAGAGAUCCGUUGUUGAAAGUUUUGAUUUAUUUGUUUGUUUUACUCAGAAGUUCCACUAAAAACAGAGUUUAGGGGUCCUCGGGCGGGCCGUCCCGUUUUACGGGGCGCGGGCUGAUCCGCCAGGCAACGUAUAGGUAUGUUCACAGGGGUUUGGGAAUUGUAAACUCGGUAAUGAUCCCUCCCCUGGUUCAGAGACAAAAAGAGUUUAAACCAACCCUGUGAAAACUUUUGCGCGGGACACCGGGCCGAAAAGGGGGGCGCGAGCACAACCGUUUUAGGGAUUCAUAAAAAAAAAAUAAAGACUGGAUGGGAUAAGAAAGCAAAGGGAAGUAAUUAACAUUUAGGGCCUGGGGGGGAUUCCCGGGGGGGGAGCAAAAGGGAGCC
Molecule: unclassified non-coding RNA, 710 nt
Filed under: Fusarium incarnatum
Lineage: Eukaryota; Fungi; Ascomycota; Sordariomycetes; Hypocreales; Nectriaceae
Description: sequence contains 18S rRNA gene, ITS1, 5.8S rRNA gene, ITS2, 28S rRNA gene
Source: RNAcentral